This 914-nucleotide long non-coding RNA is filed under the name Daucus carota (carrot). RNAcentral describes it as "long non-coding RNA (DCAR_LNC003745)". Lineage: Eukaryota; Viridiplantae; Streptophyta; Magnoliopsida; Apiales; Apiaceae. The record is from RNAcentral.
AGAGAUCCAUUAAUGCCAUUUCUUCAAAACCAUACAAUAUUUAUACACGCUUGUUUUUACAUAGAGUGAUACAUAUACCAAAAUUUUGCAUCCAUUGCCGCAGCUUGUAUGCUAAGAUCAGUUGUGGAGUGGAUUCGGUCCUCCUGGCACAACUUUCUUCGAAGCAGUGUAGGUGUGAGUAAUAUCAAUGUUCUUGUUGGUCAAAUCUUCAAAACUUGAACUACUGCUUAAGUGCUGCAAUUCUGAGGAAGGCAGAAAUGAUCGCGUCUGAUUAGCUGCUCUGAGAACCCGACAGCUGACAACUUGAGAGGUUACUAUGAUAAUGAAGAACAGAACCCGGAAAGCAGAUCUUUGUAGGCUCAUAAUUUUAGUAAUCCGUGAUGAAUAUAUAACCUCUUCCUGCAGAGUAAUAGAGAUGAGGAAAUAGAAGUUUUCAGAUUGUUUGUCUAUGAUUGCUAGAUGUUGGCUGGAACUUGGAAGAUUAUUUAAAGAAUAUAGACAACUAUAAUAAAGAACAUAAGGCCAAAACUUAACAAUAAUCCAUCAUCUGGCACCAAUAAUAUAUAACUACCCAAGCCAUAUUUAAUUAACGCCUCUUCACAAAGAUUUAAGGCAUCUAAUUAAGCAGUAGUAAACAGGCAAACUGGAGACAUGUGUCAAAUAGCAGAAAGAUUAUUUUCAGACCUUCUGUGCUGAUUGCCAGUAAUUCAAUUGUGGCUUAAUCAUAUCAUACCAUAUGGAUAACAUAAUCUUCUAUUAAGGAUCCAAUCCUAAUAUAAGUUAAAAUCCUAAUCUGAGUUGAUUUUAUAUUUGUGAUAAUUAAGGUGUCUUGUUUUGUGCUUAAGUGUGUAUCAGUAACACUUUAACAACAUAACGACAAGUACGUAAAUUAUAGAGUUGUGUAAGAAACACAC